AACGAACGCUGGCGGCAUGCCUAACACAUGCAAGUCGAACGAGACCUUCGGGUCUAGUGGCGCACGGGUGCGUAACGCGUGGGAACCUGCCCUUAGGUUCGGAAUAACUCCCCGAAAGGGGUGCUAAUACCGGAUAAUGUCUUCGGACCAAAGAUUUAUCGCCUUUGGAUGGGCCCGCGUUGGAUUAGCUAGUUGGUAGGGUAAAAGCCUACCAAGGCGACGAUCCAUAGCUGGUCUGAGAGGAUGAUCAGCCACACUGGGACUGAGACACGGCCCAGACUCCUACGGGAGGCAGCAGUGGGGAAUAGUGGACAAUGGGCGAAAGCCUGAUCCAGCAAUGCCGCGUGAGUGAUGAAGGCCUUAGGGUUGUAAAGCUCUUUUACCCGGGAUGAUAAUGAGAGUACCGGGAGAAUAAGCGCCGGCUAACUCCGUG
Molecule: ribosomal RNA, 433 nt
Filed under: uncultured bacterium
Lineage: Bacteria
Description: partial 16S ribosomal RNA
Rfam family: Bacterial small subunit ribosomal RNA
Source: RNAcentral